This 253-nucleotide ribosomal RNA is filed under the name uncultured bacterium. Its description in RNAcentral is "partial 16S ribosomal RNA". It matches the Rfam family "Bacterial small subunit ribosomal RNA", at positions 524 to 776 of the family's 1533-position model. The record is from RNAcentral.
UACGUAGGGUGCGAGCGUUGUCCGGAAUUAUUGGGCGUAAAGGGCGCGUAGGCGGUUCGUACAGUCAGACGUGAAAUUCCUGGGCUCAACCUGGGGGCUGCGUUUGAUACGUGCGGACUUGAGUGCGGAAGAGGGUCGUGGAAUUCCCAGUGUAGAGGUGAAAUUCGUAGAUAUUGGGAAGAACACCGGUGGCGAAGGCGGCGACCUGGUCCGAUACUGACGCUGAGGCGCGAAAGCGUGGGGAGCAAACAGG